This 56-nucleotide ribosomal RNA is filed under the name Colletotrichum truncatum. RNAcentral's name for it is "partial 18S ribosomal RNA". Lineage: Eukaryota; Fungi; Ascomycota; Sordariomycetes; Glomerellales; Glomerellaceae. The record is from RNAcentral.
GGAAGUAAAAGUCGUAACAAGGUCUCGAGGAGAACCAGCGGAGGGAUCAUUACUGA